RNAcentral lists this ribosomal RNA (374 nucleotides) under uncultured eukaryote. RNAcentral describes it as "partial 18S ribosomal RNA". It matches the Rfam family "Eukaryotic small subunit ribosomal RNA", at positions 592 to 976 of the family's 1831-position model. The record is from RNAcentral.
CAAGAGCGUAUGUAAAAGUUGUUGCAGUUAAAAAGCUCGUAGUUGAACCUUGGGUUUGGUUGGCCGGUCCGCUUUUUUGCGAGUACUGGAUUCAACCGAGCCUUUCCUUCUGGCUAACCAGUCGUUUCGGCGGCUGGCGAACCAGGAUUUUUACUUUGAGAAAAUUAGAGUGUUCAAAGCAGGCAUUAGCUUGAAUAUAUUAGCAUGGAAUAAUAGAAUAGGACGUUAUGGUUCUAUUUUGUUGGUUUCUAGGACCAUCGUAAUGAUUAAUAGGGACGGUCGGGGGCAUCAGUAGUCAGUUGUCAGAGGUGAAAUUCUUGGAUUUACUGAAGACUAACUACUGCGAAAGCAUUUGCCAAGGACGUUUUCAUUAA